RNAcentral lists this unclassified non-coding RNA (274 nucleotides) under uncultured fungus. RNAcentral describes it as "sequence contains ITS1". Lineage: Eukaryota; Fungi. The record is from RNAcentral.
GUAUUAAGUUUAAAGGCAUUCAAGCCCAACAACAAACAUUCUGAGACAUACUGGUAGGGGUAUAUAUAUAAAAACAUAGACCGGAAGUACAAGGAAAGCUGGCUUUGCGCACAGCAGUCCUCAAACCGAGUUUCCUCGAGAGUUUAUCCAGGUCUACAGAAGGUGCACAGGUGGUAAAAAGUUUGGUGUUAGGCGUGCACAUGCUCCUGAGAGCCAGCAACAACCCAACCAAGCUUAUUCAAUAAUGAUCCUUCCGCAGGUUCACCUACGGAAA